AUACUAACCUGGCAGGGGAGGCACCUUGAUCAAGAAGGAGGUUUUCUCAAUGUGAGGCUCAUCCAUUGCACUGCAGGGGUGCUGACCCCUGUGAUUUCCCCAAAUGUGGGAAAAGUGGACUGCAUCAUUUGUGACAGUGGGGGGGCUGUAUUCAUGCUGUUUA
Molecule: small nuclear RNA, 163 nt
Organism: Podarcis muralis (Common wall lizard)
Lineage: Eukaryota; Metazoa; Chordata; Lepidosauria; Squamata; Lacertidae
Gene: U1
Rfam family: U1 spliceosomal RNA
About the family: U1 is a small nuclear RNA (snRNA) component of the spliceosome (involved in pre-mRNA splicing). Its 5' end forms complementary base pairs with the 5' splice junction, thus defining the 5' donor site of an intron.
Source: Ensembl